Molecule: small nuclear RNA, 23 nt
Filed under: Arabidopsis thaliana (thale cress)
Lineage: Eukaryota; Viridiplantae; Streptophyta; Magnoliopsida; Brassicales; Brassicaceae
Description: snRNA_04839
Source: RNAcentral
UUAGCCAACUUUCGUAUAUGUGA